Long non-coding RNA from Heterocephalus glaber (naked mole-rat), 341 nucleotides. Lineage: Eukaryota; Metazoa; Chordata; Mammalia; Rodentia; Bathyergidae. The record is from Ensembl.
GAGAAGGCUGACAAGACUCUGACCAAGGAGAGAUUCUUCAUCAAGGGACAGGGAUGAAAUUACAAGAAAACCUGAGAUUUCAGGAAGAAAUAUAAGAAAUAUGGGGAGAAGGAGACGAAGCACAUCCACCAGAAACUUGAUGGCUGCUGAAGUCACUGACCUCUGGCCACAGAUUUAUUACAGCAUCUUCUCCACUUCUGUGAUAUCAAGGUAGCAAUGACAGCACAAUAAAGACACCCAUGAAAGAGAACUUCUGGAACCACUUCAGAAAGUGACAAGAACAAUGGGAUAAGUGUGUUUGAAGAGAGGAGGAGUAUCUUGAGGGUGAUUAAUAGUGAUGU